Molecule: ribosomal RNA, 241 nt
Filed under: uncultured bacterium
Lineage: Bacteria
Description: partial 16S ribosomal RNA
Rfam family: Bacterial small subunit ribosomal RNA
Source: RNAcentral
CGGGCGUAGCAAUACGUCAGCGGCGGACGGGUGAGUAACACGUGGGAACAUGCCCUUCGGUACGGAACAACUCAGGGAAACUUGAGCUAAUACCGUAUGCGCCGGCAACGGGAAAGAUUUAUCGCCGAAGGAUUGGCCCGCGUCCGAUUAGCUAGUUGGUGAGGUAACGGCCCACCAAGGCACCGAUCGGUAGCUGGUUUGAGAGAACGACCAGCCACACUGGGACUGAGACACGGCCCAG